UACAGAGGGUGCGAGCGUUAAUCGGAAUUACUGGGCGUAAAGCGUGCGCAGGCGGUUUUGCAAGCCGGAUGUGAAAUCCCCGGGCUUAACCUGGGAAUGGCAUUUGGGACUGCAAGGCUGGAGUGCGGCAGAGGAGACUGGAAUUCCUGGUGUAGCAGUGAAAUGCGUAGAUAUCAGGAGGAACACCGAUGGCGAAGGCAGGUCUCUGGGCUGACACUGACGCUCAUGCGCGAAAGCGUGGGGAGCAAACAGG
Molecule: ribosomal RNA, 253 nt
Filed under: uncultured bacterium
Lineage: Bacteria
Description: partial 16S ribosomal RNA
Rfam family: Bacterial small subunit ribosomal RNA
Source: RNAcentral